UUGAAAGGGAAACGAUUGAAGUCAGUCGUACCGGCGGAUAAUCAGCCUUUCGGGUGCGAUUAUGUGGAACGUGGGGAGCUUAACCGCCUUCACGCCUGCAUAUUUGUGCACUUUGGGUGUACUUGUCCGUGUGGUAGGUUAACAUCAAUUUCGGUCAUCAUAAAAUGAUCGGGGGAAUGUAGCUUCGAUCUCGUAUCGAAGUGUUAUAGACUCCGGUAGAUGUGAUGGUAGGGAUUGAGGAUUGCAACGGAUACCCUUCGGGGCUACCCGCCUGGCCUCUGAAGGUUGCUCCGGUGCCGAAAGCUUGCUUACGGUUAUCGAUAGUGAUCGUCAAAAGGCUAGAACGGGUUAAAUUCGUUAAGGAUGUUGACGUA
RNAcentral lists this ribosomal RNA (374 nucleotides) under uncultured Glomus. RNAcentral describes it as "eukaryotic LSU rRNA". The record is from RNAcentral. Lineage: Eukaryota; Fungi; Glomeromycota; Glomeromycetes; Glomerales; Glomeraceae.